Molecule: long non-coding RNA, 209 nt
Filed under: Olea europaea (common olive)
Lineage: Eukaryota; Viridiplantae; Streptophyta; Magnoliopsida; Lamiales; Oleaceae
Description: long non-coding RNA (OEUR_LNC004794)
Source: RNAcentral
UUUGAUCAGCACCCGAAUCAAUCAAAACACGAGUAGUGAAUUUGAAUUCUUUAUUAACUACAAUAGUCAUAUUGCAGUACCAUUUCUGAAGUUGAAUUCGAUUAAUAACAUUAAUCUUUUCUUCUUCAGUUUGAGGGAAUUUUGAAGUAGAUGAAAAAUCAGAUGAAGAUGAUUCAGAAUGAUGAGAAUGAUAUGAAGGAGUUUUUGAG